This 499-nucleotide ribosomal RNA is filed under the name uncultured bacterium. RNAcentral's name for it is "partial 16S ribosomal RNA". It matches the Rfam family "Bacterial small subunit ribosomal RNA", at positions 28 to 507 of the family's 1533-position model. The record is from RNAcentral.
GACGAACGCUGGCGGCGUGCCUAAUACAUGCAAGUCGAGCGAAGUUUUUCUGGUGCUUGCACCGGAAAAACUUAGCGGCGAACGGGUGAGUAACACGUAAAGAACCUGCCUCAUAGACUGGGACAACUAUUGGAAACGAUAGCUAAUACCGGAUAAUAGCAUUAACUGCAUGGUUGAUGUUUAAAAGUUGGUUUUGCUAACACUAUGAGAUGGCUUUGCGGUGCAUUAGCUAGUUGGUGGGGUAAAGGCCUACCAAGGCGACAAUGCAUAGCCGACCUGAGAGGGUGAUCGGCCACACUGGGACUGAGACACGGCCCAGACUCCUAAGGGAGGCAGCAGUAGGGAAUCUUCCGCAAUGGGCGAAAGCCUGACGGAGCAACGCCGCGUGAGUGAAGAAGGAUUUCGGUUCGUAAAGCUCUGUUGUUAGGGAAGAAUGAUUGUGUAGUAACUAUACACAGUAGAGACGGUACCUAACCAGAAAGCCACGGCUAACUACGUG